Non-coding RNA from Arvicanthis niloticus (Nile rat), 4338 nucleotides. Lineage: Eukaryota; Metazoa; Chordata; Mammalia; Rodentia; Muridae. The record is from RefSeq and is a predicted model, not a curated record.
ACUGUCAGACUAGGAGCUCGUCCAUUCCUGUUCGGCUGUUGACCCUGUGGAGUUUUCUGCUGCCUUUGCAAGAGUCACUACUGAGGAAUGGAGUACAAUGGCUCCCAAAGCAGGCAGCAGACUGCAACAAGGAAGGCUCUUGGUGCCCUCUGGAGGAAUUUUCAGUCAUUGCAGAAGCCCAGCCAGAAUGGAGAAUAUUUUGUUCAGCUCACUUAACAGAUCCAAUGAAAGCAGAAUCAUAGACUCAGGAGAAGAGGACAAAGAUACUCAGAGAGAAAAAGUAAAGGACAGAAGAAGGAGACUGGAGAGACCAGGAUCCUUCCAGCUGAACAAAGUCAGCCGCAAAACAGACUAGCCAGCAGGCUACAAUUGGAGUCAGAGUGCCAAAGACAUGGGCUUGUUAGAGUGCUGUGCUAGAUGUCUGGUAGGGGCCCCCUUUGCUUCCCUGGUGGCCACUGGAUUGUGUUUCUUUGGAGUGGCACUGUUCUGUGGAUGUGGACAUGAGGCUCUCACUGGUACAGAAAAGCUAAUUGAGACCUAUUUCUCCAAAAACUACCAGGACUAUGAGUAUCUCAUUAAUGUGUAAGUAUGUCCUCACCCCACCUCCAGACUCAUCUCAUUUUCCCUCCCCCUCCCCCUGUCUUGGAGGUACAAGCUCAUCCGUGUGGAGCUAAGCAGCAUUCCUGACAUAUCCCUCUGUGGACAGGUUCUACCAUGCCGUGUUGGAAACUAAGUAAAGGGACACUGUCAGAUUCAGAAAGGAGGCCUGCCUCUGCUCACUCCUCUUUAUUUUCUCAUAUAUGGCCUGAUUUCUGCUAGGUAUGCUUAAUGUUGCCUGAAUUGUCUCCACAAUGACAGGUAAAGGUCUAAUGACUGGGCAGAGUGGAAUCCCUGGUUUUGGUCUGACACUCUACUUAUGCGUACUCAGGCUUAGUAAUAAGUCUGUCCUGCUUGUGGAGCAAGUCAAGCUACUAUUCCUUCAUGUGUCUCUCACUUGUCUAUGGAGUAGCACAUCUGAAGGGUCAAACAAGGAGUGGCAAGCUUGGCUCUCUAAGAUGCAGGUAACAAGGAAUAUGGGGAGAAACUAUGCUCUUGGCCACCUACUGUCUGAUUUCAUUUACUUCAGUGUAGAAAAGGUGAAAGGACACAUGAAAUACCUAGUUAUUCCUCUCAAGAACCCCUAGCCACCCAAGUGUGUACCUCACUAACUGACAAGAAGAGUGGUGUCCUCUGAAUAAGGUUAUCUGGAUUUUCUGUCUGUCAAUGCAGGAUUCAUGCUUUCCAGUAUGUCAUCUAUGGAACUGCCUCUUUCUUCUUCCUUUAUGGGGCCCUCCUGCUGGCUGAGGGCUUCUACACCACUGGCGCUGUCAGGCAGAUCUUUGGCGACUACAAGACCACCAUCUGCGGCAAGGGCCUGAGCGCAACGGUAACAGGGGGCCAGAAGGGGAGGGGUUCCAGAGGCCAACAUCAAGCUCAUUCUUUGGAGCGGGUGUGUCAUUGUUUGGGAAAAUGGCUAGGACAUCCCGACAAGGUGAUCAUCCUCAGGAUUUUGUGGCAAUAACAAGGGGUGGGGGACAAUUGGGCGUGAGUCUGUAGCCUCAUCCACACCCAAGGUUGGGUCCUCUCCAGAGGCCUAGCUUUUGAGUGAGGAAGCGAUGGCUACAGCCGAACGAUAUGGUCAGGAAGAACGUGGUGCCUGGCCGGCUUAGCCUCACCUUUCAAAGGUUCCCUGGAAAUUUUCAUCUUAAACUGAAAAGCAUCAAUUUUGUAGGAUGCUUUGUACAAUAAGACCAUUUCUAACCAAUCUGUUGGUAUCCCUUAACUUUGUUCCUAGCAAGAAUGACAAGAGUGGACCAGACUAUACAAGAAUCUAAAAUGCUAGUCAUGGAAUUGAGACUUAAAUACAUAACCUCAAAUGGAGGGUGGAUCAUAGAAAUUAAAGAAUUGACUCCAAGUCCCUGUAUCUGGGAUUCUGUACUAUUAGGGGGUCCCAGAGAGACUUAGGCUAGAUCUGCAUAUUUCAUGCUUGUCUUUGGGCUAGCUGUGUUUUAGAAAGACAUACAUUGUUUUUCAGUCUCUAGACUUAAAGAUCUUUUGGGGUCUGAACAUGUGUGUGUUGUGGAGAUGACUUUUUUGACCAGCAGUUAGCUUAGAAUGGUUUUAGAUCUGAAAUUUAAAUCUCCUAUUGGCGCUGUUCAGUGACUGGGGAACAAAAAUCCUGUGGCAAAGAACAUCUUGUAAGCUCAGCCUAAGGCACAAAAUGGCACAACUUUCUUUCAGGACUUUUUUUCGUUUUUACUUUUUUACACCUUCUCUGCCCUCCAAAUCCCUGAAGCCCCCUCUAACCCAGGGAUCCGCCUCACUCCAACUCCCACCCAUUCCCCCUACCCUCCAUCACACUUGGGGCAAGUUAUCUAAGAGAUACUGCCAAUGACACUUCACAAAAGUGCCCUGCUCACUAAUUUCAUUUAAGGGAGAUGCCUGGAAUCUGACUUCAUUGGCAUGUGCCACUCCAGGAUCUUCCAGUUUUUGUUUCAAGGUCUGCAAGUUGAUGCUGAUUUUUAACCACUCCAUGUCAAUUGUUUUAGUUUGUGGGCAUCACCUAUGCCCUGACUGUUGUCUGGCUCCUGGUGUUUGCCUGCUCUGCUGUGCCUGUGUACAUUUACUUCAAUACCUGGACCACCUGUCAGUCUAUUGCCUUCCCUAGCAAGACCUCUGCCAGCAUAGGCAGUCUGUGCGCUGAUGCCAGAAUGUAUGGUGUUCUCCCAUGGAAUGCUUUCCCUGGCAAGGUUUGUGGCUCCAACCUUCUGUCCAUCUGCAAAACAGCCGAGUUCCAAAUGACCUUCCACCUGUUUAUUGCUGCAUUUGUGGGUGCUGCAGCCACACUAGUUUCCCUGCUCACCUUCAUGAUUGCUGCCACUUACAACUUCGCCGUCCUUAAACUCAUGGGCCGAGGCACCAAGUUCUGAUCUCCCAUAGAAAUUCCCCUUUGUCUAAUAGCGAGGCUCUAACCACACAGCCUACAGUGUUGUGUCUCCUGUCUUAACUCUGCCUUUGCCACUGAUUGGCCCUCUUCUUACUUGAUGAGUAUAACAAGAAAGGAGAGUCUUGCAGUGAUUAAUCUCUCUCUGUGGACUCUCCCUCUUAGUACCUCUUUUAGUCAUUUUGCUCCACAGCUGACUCCUGCUAGAAAUGGGGAGUACCUGAGAAGGUGAUCCCCCAGCUGCAAGUCGCAGAGGAAUGAAAGCUCGAAUUGAGUUUGCAAGCAUCUCCUGAAGACCAGGAUGUGCUUCCUUCUCAAAGGGCACUUCCAUUGAGGAAAACAGUGGAAAGAAAGAUUCUCAGGUAGAGAGCAGGAGUGUCCUUGGUCUCCUUGCCAUCAAUAGGAGUCAAAUAUAUUCUCUUUGAUGCACAAAACCAAGAGCUCACUCUUACCUAUUUCCACUGAAGACAGAAGAAAAUAAAAAGAAUGCUAGCAAAAGCAAUAGCAUUUGCCCAAAUCUGCCUCCUGCAGCUGGGAGAAGGGGGGGUCAAAGCAAGGAUCUUUCGCCCUUAGAAAGAGAGCUCUGACGCCAGUGGCAAUGGACUCUUCAAGCCCUAAUUCAGCCGACCUUCCUUCCUUACAGCAUUAGAGAGCACAGUGUCUGUUUAGACAAAGUGGGGGGUGGGGGGGAGGAAUCAUCUGUCCUUACAGCUCAUUAGGAAGAGAAACAGUGUUGUCAGGAUCGUCUCACUCCCUUCUCCUUGAUAACAGCUACCAUGACAACCUUGCUGUUUCCAAGGAGCUGAGAAUAGAAGGGAACUAGCUUAUACGAAAUAAGACUGUGACCUAGGAGCAUCAGUUGGUAGAUGCUAAAGGUGUAUUUUGGGUUGGCCCUCAGGUAGAUGAAGGAUACUUAACCCUUUGGAUAGCAUUUCUUCUCCUCCCCUCACCCCCCAUCAGUUAGUUGUGGCCUCUGGCCUCUGGCAUAAUAUCUUCACAAUGGUGCUCUUUUCCUGGAGUUUUAUCCAUUCACUCAUAGCAGGUGAUUAGAUGAUCUUGAUUAGUUUCAGAAUGAUUCGUGUUUCAUAUUUCCCAAUUGUUUAUCUCUUGUUUGGAGUUGUAUCAGAAAGAUCUGGAGAAUGAUUCUUUGAGCAUAGUUCUUUUUGAAAAAAAGAAACACUGGACAGUAAGCAUCACAAAAGUAUUUGAAAUUGUAUGGUCCCGUGAAAUUAUUGGGAUUUCCCUCCAAGUAUUCUACCAUUUGUAGAACUAGGCUUGGUAAAGUUGAACUUCAAUUUUAAUAACUUGUCCGAUAUCUUUUUUUCUAAUAAAUGACAGAUGAUUUCACUUGCUCA